AGAGUUUGAUCCUGGCUCAGGACGAACGCUGGCGGCGUGCUUAACACAUGCAAGUCAAGGAGAACAUUUUCUUCGGAAAAUUAUUAAACUGGCGAACGGGUGAGUAACGCGUAGGCAACCUGCCCUAGAGAUUGGGAUAACCCCGGGAAACCGGGACUAAUACCGAAUAAUGCAGCGGAUCCUUUGGGAUACAGUUGUUAAAGUGGGCUUCGGCUCACGCUUUAGGAUGGGCCUGCGUCUGAUUAGCUUGUUGGUGAGGUAAUGGCUCACCAAGGCGAUGAUCGGUAGCUGGUCUGAGAGGAUGAUCAGCCACACUGGGAUUGAGAUACGGCCCAGACUCCUACCGGGAGGCAGCAGUGGGGAAUUUUGCGCAAUGGGGGAAACCCUGACGCAGCAACGCCGCGUGACCGAUGAAGCUUCUAGGAGCGUAAAGGUCUGUCGUAAGGGAAGAAAAGUUUGGAUGUUAAUAAUGUUCGAACCUGACGGGUACCUUACAAGAAAG
This 502-nucleotide ribosomal RNA is filed under the name uncultured marine bacterium. RNAcentral's name for it is "bacterial SSU rRNA". It matches the Rfam family "Bacterial small subunit ribosomal RNA", at positions 8 to 490 of the family's 1533-position model. The record is from RNAcentral.